This 252-nucleotide ribosomal RNA is filed under the name uncultured Clostridiaceae bacterium. RNAcentral describes it as "partial 16S ribosomal RNA". It matches the Rfam family "Bacterial small subunit ribosomal RNA", at positions 524 to 776 of the family's 1533-position model. The record is from RNAcentral. Lineage: Bacteria; Bacillati; Bacillota; Clostridia; Eubacteriales; Clostridiaceae.
UACGUAGGGGGCUAGCGUUAUCCGGAAUUACUGGGCGUAAAGGGUGCGUAGGUGGUUUCUUAAGUCAGAGGUGAAAGGCUACGGCUCAACCGUAGUAAGCCUUUGAAACUGGGAAACUUGAGUGCAGGAGAGGAGAGUGGAAUUCCUAGUGUAGCGGUGAAAUGCGUAGAUAUUAGGAGGAACACCAGUAGCGAAGGCGGCUCUCUGGACUGUAACUGACGCUGAGGCACGAAAGCGUGGGGAGCAAACAGG